This 26-nucleotide small RNA is filed under the name Bombyx mori (domestic silkworm). Its description in RNAcentral is "ovarian small RNA-11167". Lineage: Eukaryota; Metazoa; Arthropoda; Insecta; Lepidoptera; Bombycidae. The record is from RNAcentral.
ACAUGAUUAGGUAUUGCCAAUUUAGU